GAACCGAAAGCGUGUUUGAGCGUAUGUGAAAAUUUGCCGAACGGCAAAACAACCGAUUUAUAAUUCGUUUCAAUAUAACAUGAAAUAGGAUAUGCGAAAUGACAAUUGAACGAUUAAAUAUGUUCAGCCGAAUGACCGUACGAAUGAAAAAGCACGCGAAUUGCUUGAAACAUUUGUGUCAUAACCAGGGGAAAAACGUAAAGCAAGGACCCGUGCUGUACCGUACGCCGUGGGAACAAGUCCUGGCGUGACAGGAAGGUCUGACUUACGGUUUAGGAGUCCCUGGGACGCGAUCUACGACGAAGACCGGAGUCAGAAGAAGCUGGACGGACGGAAAGGCCUGAACAGGAUUCCUGGACACAGCUAACGUGGUGAAAACCACGUGGAUACUGAAACCAAGAUGGCGUCUGAGAGAACCCGGAAGUGGAUCCUCAUUCAACGC
Molecule: non-coding RNA, 442 nt
Organism: Pelobates cultripes (western spadefoot toad)
Lineage: Eukaryota; Metazoa; Chordata; Amphibia; Anura; Pelobatidae
Source: the annotation of a GenBank genome assembly